AUAUGAUUCCUCAGACCAGGCAACCUUCUUCCAUUGCUCUAUGGUCCAGUUCUGACGCUCAUGUCCCCUAGGUGAAAUUCUUUCAUCAGAGUCUGUACAGAUGUUUAAAACAACAACUGGAUGAAUACUUGCAAAAACAUGAUAUUCAGGGAAAUAUUUUUUUGAUAUGUGGGGUAACCACUUAUAGAUCCAAGGAGAGAUCUGACUGCCAGUCUGGGGUUGUGAAGGAAUUUUGUCCCCUAGUUUGUUGCAAAACUGGAAGCACUUCAAACUGAGUUUAUAGCCUUCUUUUGGAUCAACAGCAAAAACUAAUAGGAGUAAUGUUGAACAUGACAGGCGCAAGCCUUUUUUCUGCUUAUCUAUGUAAC
Non-coding RNA from Pelobates cultripes (western spadefoot toad), 368 nucleotides. The record is from the annotation of a GenBank genome assembly. NCBI's taxonomy places the organism in Eukaryota, Metazoa, Chordata, Amphibia, Anura, Pelobatidae.